GACGAACGCUGGCGGCGUGCUUAACACAUGCAAGUCGAACGGAAAGGCCCUGCUUUCGUGGGGUGCUCGAGUGGCGAACGGGUGAGUAACACGUGAGUAACCUGCCCUUGACUUUGGGAUAACUUCAGGAAACUGGAGCUAAUACCGGAUAGGAGCUCCCGCUGCAUGGUGGGGGUUGGAACGUCUCGGCGGUUGGGGAUGGACUCGCGGGUUAUGAGCUUGUUGGUGGGGUAGUGGCUUACCAAGGGUUUGACGGGUAGCCGGCCUGGGAGGGGGGCCGGCGACAUGGGGACUGAGAGACGGCCCAGAGUCGUACGGGAGGCAGCAGGGGGGAGUAUUGCACAGUGGGCGGGAGCCUGAUGCAGAAACGCCGCGUGCGGGAUGACGGCCUUCGGGUUGUAAACCGCUUUCGCCUGUGACGAAGCGUGAGUGACGGUAAUGGGUAAAGAAGCACCGGCUAACUACGUG
This 468-nucleotide ribosomal RNA is filed under the name uncultured bacterium. RNAcentral describes it as "partial 16S ribosomal RNA". It matches the Rfam family "Bacterial small subunit ribosomal RNA", at positions 28 to 507 of the family's 1533-position model. The record is from RNAcentral.